This 19-nucleotide non-coding RNA is filed under the name Rattus norvegicus (Norway rat). Lineage: Eukaryota; Metazoa; Chordata; Mammalia; Rodentia; Muridae. The record is from RNAcentral.
ACACGAGUCGAUGGGGGUU